GCCAGCACCACCACCACCAGUCGGAAAUGUGCUUGCAGUGAGAGAGGCAAAAAAAUAAAUAUUUUUGGGUCGUUGUUGGUAGAUUUUCUCUUAAUGUGGUGUCAUCCCAGCAGAAACAGCAUCAAAAAAGCUUCAGGACACUGCUGAAUGGAACACUUCUGGCAAGACUUUCCUGCUCCAAAAGACAAAUAAACGAAAAAAUGAUUACCACGGCGGUGUUCUUGGACACAGGAGAGGUUGAUGAGGGGCCUUUAGCGUCUUGCAGAAUGGAUGGAAGCGAACAAAACUCAGCCCUCUAUCCCCUAGGAAUGGAACCUUUCCCGGGAGCCAAAACUCUAAACCCCGGGGAGCUGCUCUGUCAGCCGGUGACGUGCGGGAGGUGUGGUUUUGACCAUGUAUGGAGAGGCCAGCAUCCCCCCUCCUUCUUUGCUUUGGAGGAGAGCAAGUCUUGUUUAGUUGCUGAGUGACUGCU
Molecule: non-coding RNA, 472 nt
Organism: Pelobates cultripes (western spadefoot toad)
Lineage: Eukaryota; Metazoa; Chordata; Amphibia; Anura; Pelobatidae
Source: the annotation of a GenBank genome assembly